Molecule: transfer RNA, 346 nt
Filed under: uncultured Bacteroidota bacterium
Lineage: Bacteria; Pseudomonadati; Bacteroidota
Description: uncultured Bacteroidetes bacterium partial 16S-23S ribosomal RNA intergenic spacer
Rfam family: tRNA (bases 98-171)
Source: RNAcentral
CCUCCUUUCUAGAGAAAGACGACAAUUAUAAUGAGAAAAAUAGGAAAGGGAUGGUUUUUCUUAGCUGUUAAUUUUAAAAUGAAGUAAUAAAAAGUAGAGUCUCAUAGCUCAGCUGGUUAGAGCGCUACACUGAUAAUGUAGAGGUCGGCAGUUCGAGUCUGCCUGAGACUACUAAAAAGGAAAUUCUAGAGGAUGAGUCGCCGAUUAAGAUAUAAUGUUGACUGAAAAGGUUUGACAAUUUUAUAGAAACGGGGGAUUAGCUCAGCUGGCUAGAGCGCUUGCCUUGCACGCAAGAGGUCAUCGGUUCGACUCCGAUAUUCUCCACAGAGGCUAAAGUUACUGGUUU